AUUAUUAUGAAUUUUGCAAAAACAGUUAAAAAUUAAAAAUAUAACGUAAUACAAAAAAAUGUUUAACUACGUUCAUAAUUCUUGUUUUUAAUAAUUUGAGAGAAAGAUAACUUUGUCCCGGUUCUCUCCUCAACCCACUCUAACUCCCACCCUCAUAAAAAUAUUUAAAUACUUUAUAACAUUGAACGCAUCAUGUAAUCAAUUUUAAUUUUAAAGUGAUGGAAGUAAAAAUGGUCAUUAUAGUCAAAAUUAGUUUAAACUGAAAAAUUUUAUAGGUCAACAAUUACUACUAAUGGAAUUUACAUGUUUUUUCAGGUAAUAUGUUUUUCAAAAAACCAGAGCAAGUCAACAUUGAGUUUUGACAUAUUGAAUAACAUAAAUAUAUAAUAUGGUUCGCACACUAAACAAAUUGAGUAUAAACUAUGAAAAAUAAUAAUAUAAACUGUUUAUUGGGCACAUAAUAACGGUCGGAAAAUUUCACCAAGUUAAAGAUUCAAUUUAGAAGUAUAAAAUCCAAUUCUUUUAAACUUUUAUUAAUCAAGUCGAAUUGAAAACCUAAGUGUGUACUGCACAUAUGUAUAACGUCACCUGUUGUCGUCUAUUUUCGGCAUCCGCCAUUUUCUCCAACAACAUUUCAUGGGUUAGCGGCGGUGAUUGCUGUCCCUCUAACAUCCUCAGUCUCUUUGGCGGAUGUUUUUUCACGACGCUUUCUUCUUCUUCGGUCAACGGAACGCUAAACGCUAUGGCUGUUUGCACACACACACAAACAUACGCGAAAGUAUAAAUUUGCAAAGCGAUCAUUUUAGAUUGAUGUGUGCUGUGAGUUGUUUCUAGUAACAAAUUGGAUCUAGAGUUGGUACUUUUGUGAAGUCAAAACUAGGAAAGCUCGAAAACAGCAGCAGGUAAAAUAGUUUUAAGAAUUCACCAAUGAUCUGCACUCUGCAAAGAGAUAAUUUUUUGUUGUUUGAAUCUAUAGGAUUAUUUUAUUGUUUUAAAAUAGACCUACAUUAACGGAUUUUGAAAACACCUCUUAACACUUCAUCUCACAUCUGGGAUAUUUAAAGAAGCAAUAUAUUAUUAGUAUUUUAAGGGUCAGUCACUGCAACUCCCCCGCAUGCAGUACAGUGUGUACAAUACGUCAAUAUAGUAAUUAUAUACAUUUAUACUAUAUGAAGUACAGAAAUUAUAGCGAUCGUAUAUGUGCAGACAGAUACCUAUGUGCAAUGUAUGCAAUAUAAUAUGUCAAUAUGCAUUUAUAGAUUAUAUCAUUAUACAUUUCAAUAAAUUGUUGAAGCUAGACAGAGAUAGUUGUGGAUUCAGUCUUGAGUUUUGGAGAAAGACUUUUCUUAAAAAGAAAAAAAUUAUCUAGUUAAAAAAGUACAAGCAUAUAUAAAGUAGUAAUACUAUAGUAAUAGUUUAUAUGACACUACCUACAUUAAUAGCGAUAUUAAAAAUAAAAUU
Aphis gossypii (cotton aphid) is the source of this 1461-nucleotide long non-coding RNA. RefSeq lists it as uncharacterized. NCBI's taxonomy places the organism in Eukaryota, Metazoa, Arthropoda, Insecta, Hemiptera, Aphididae. The transcript has 3 exons. The record is from RefSeq and is a predicted model, not a curated record.